This 492-nucleotide ribosomal RNA is filed under the name Blastocystis sp. Its description in RNAcentral is "SSU rRNA". It matches the Rfam family "Eukaryotic small subunit ribosomal RNA", at positions 460 to 953 of the family's 1831-position model. The record is from RNAcentral. Lineage: Eukaryota; Bigyra; Opalinata; Blastocystidae.
GGAGGUAGUGACAAUAAAUCUCAAUACGAAGCCUUUGGUUUUGUAAUUGAAUUGAGAACAAUGUACAAUCGUUAUCGAUAAACAAUUGGAGGGCAAGUCUGGUGCCAGCAGCCGCGGUAAUUCCAGCUCCAAUAGCGUAUAUUAACGUUGUUGCAGUUAAAAAGCUCGUAGUUGAAGUUUAGGUAAUUUGUAGAGAGUGUUAGUAUUCGUACUAUCUAUUCUCUAUAAAUUAUCGACUUCCAGGUAAGCUUGAUUAUCCCUCCGGGGACUGUCAAGCCAGACUGGUCUUUUACUGUGAGAAAAUUAGAGUGUUUAAAGCAGACUUUUUAAAUAGUUUGAAUAGAUUAGCAUGGAAUAAUAAGAUUGGCUUUCAUAGUCGAUUUUUUGGUUUGUUUAUGAAAGCAAGAUUAAUAGGGACAGUUGGGGGUAUUCAUAUUCAAUAGCUAGAGGUGAAAUUCUAUGAUUUAUGGAAGAUGAACAAGUGCGAAAGCA